This 225-nucleotide unclassified non-coding RNA is filed under the name plant metagenome. RNAcentral's name for it is "partial contains small subunit ribosomal RNA, internal transcribed spacer 1, and 5.8S ribosomal RNA". The record is from RNAcentral.
UCUCCGUUGGUGAACCAGCGGAGGGAUCAUUACAGGACUCGCAAGACUCCUACAACCCUGUGAACUUAACUAUAAGCACGUUGCUUCGGCGGGUGUCUCGGAGGAGGUUCUCCCUCCCCGAGACGCUAAACCCGCCGGCAGCCUACUAUACUCUGUCUCUUUGCGUUGGCAUCUCGAGUACAAUCAAACAAGUUAAAACUUUCAACAACGGAUCUCUUGGUUCUG